GGGAGUGCAGCUCAGUGAUAGAGUGCUUGCCUAGCAUGUGCAGGGCCCUGGCUUCAAUCCCCAGUACCCCCA
Molecule: transfer RNA, 72 nt
Filed under: Marmota monax (woodchuck)
Lineage: Eukaryota; Metazoa; Chordata; Mammalia; Rodentia; Sciuridae
Description: tRNA.Ala
Source: RNAcentral